RNAcentral lists this long non-coding RNA (1154 nucleotides) under Monodelphis domestica (gray short-tailed opossum). RNAcentral's name for it is "lncRNA (ENSMODG00000039798.1)". The record is from RNAcentral. Lineage: Eukaryota; Metazoa; Chordata; Mammalia; Didelphimorphia; Didelphidae.
GGAAGUAUGGUUUGAGAACGAUCAUAGGAAUUUAGAGUUCAUUUGAUCCAUCCUGUACAAGGAUGUUUAAAAACUAAAAUCUUCAGAGUAGGAUAUGUCACUGGUGGUAUAAAAGAAAGAACACUAUACUAGAAGUCACUAAAUCUGCUUUCAAGACCAUUCACUACCAUGUGUCAUAGCAUCAUAAGAUCUUAGAUUUAAAACAGAAGACAACCUUAAAAAUCACCAUAUCAAACACAUGUGUGUGUGUGCGCGCACACGCAAAAUGAAGAAAUGACUAGCUGGUGACUUGAGAAUUUUCUGCCUAGGUAACAAGAAGAAGGAUGGUAAUUUUGAAGAAGUGAGAGAAGACUAGGAAGGAUAGUUGGUUGGAAGGAAGGGUAACAACUACCAUUUUAGACAUUGAGUUCUAGAUGCAAAAAUGCAUAGAGGUUUGCUUUUCUGUCAAGAAUUUGGAGAUGUUUACAUAAAGAACAGAAGAAGGUAAGAUUGAAGAUGUAUAAAAAAUCAAUUUUUUUAGAAGUUUUACAGUCAAAGAAUAUAAAGUUUUUGAGGGAGAGGAAUUAGUUUUCCCAGGACUGGACUUUGGGAUAUACUCAUACUGAAGGAAUGGAAUGAAGAUUUAAAGGUAAUAAUUGACUGAAAAAAAAGCUCAAGAUAUAGAAAGGAUAUCAACCAAAUGUUUUAGAAGUAGAGGCAAUUUAGUGCUGCAGUGAACAAAACACUGGACUUAGUCAGAAGGUCUAGAGUUCAAAUUUGACUUCAGUUAUUUAGUAGUUGUAUAAAGCAAACCCCCAACCUCAUCUACCACAAUUUCUUUGCCUAUAAAAUGAAGACAAUAAUAGUACCUCUCUCCAAAGGUUGUUGUAAGGAUCAAGUGAGAUAAUAUUUAUAAAGCAUUUAGCACAGUUUCUAGUGCCAGGUAGGUAUUAAUAAAUAUUUGUUACUUACCUUCUUUUGUAAUUAUAAAGAGUAAGAAGCCAGGAAAAAGAGGCAAAAAUAUACUUUCUUUCUUUCCAGAGGUUAGAGAUGAUAGCUAUGGAAUAUUGCAGAAACUGAAAGACACACAGGUUGAAGAGUUGAAUAUGAUGUGGGAGAUGAUGGUAAUGACUCAUAUAAAGAUGAAGAAACUGAGGCUUAAUAAUGUUAAAUGA